GACGAACGCUGGCGGCGCGCUUAACACAUGCAAGUCGAACGGAAAGGCCUGCUUUCCCUUGUGGGUUGCGGGUACUCGAGUGGCGAACGGGUGAGUAACACGUGAGUGAUCUGCCCCCAACUUGGGUAUAAGCCUGGGAAACUGGGUCUAAUUCCCGAUAGGACUGCAGGGUGGUGCCUGUGGUGGAAAACGAUUUGCUAGUGGUUGGGGAUGAGCUCGCGGCCUAUCAGCUUGUUGGUGGGGUAAUGGCCUACCAAGGCGGCGACGGGUAGCCGGCCUGGGAGGGUGGACGGCCACAUUGGAACUGAGAUACGGCCAAGACUCCUACGGGAGGCAGCAGUGGGGAAUAAUGCACAAUGGGCGGAAGCCUGAUGCAGCGACGCCGAGUGGGCGAUGACGGCCUUCGGGUUGUAACCUCCUUUCGACCGCGAGGAAGCCACCUGGUUGGAAGGGUGGUGACGGUAGUGGUAGAAGAAGCACCGGCUAACUACGUG
Molecule: ribosomal RNA, 494 nt
Filed under: uncultured bacterium
Lineage: Bacteria
Description: partial 16S ribosomal RNA
Rfam family: Bacterial small subunit ribosomal RNA
Source: RNAcentral